UACCCAACUUAUAUGGCAUUACACAAGCAGCAACAUAGCAAUACAAUCUCAGAGUCCGACUUAGAAACAUUAGAAUAAUCCAUAUAAGAUAGUACGUACUCUUCAGAAGACAACCGAACACAAAGCAAAUGCUUAUACUAGAAAAAAACACGAUAGACUAAUCCACACAGCUCUUUUCUCAGUUUCCUCAUUCAGUUGCUUUUCCUUUGCGCCUGCUGCUACAGCUGGUUUCUAUGAGGUAACAAACCAUGGAAUCCACAUCAUCGCCGAAUAUGCUAUAAGCCUCAAUCACUCGUGGAUAGCUGAAACCCAUAGAUAGCAUAACCUGGAUGCAGUCGUUAAAGGCAGAAUCUGGCGAACUCAGCUCUUGCCCAGCUUCCUGCCGUUUCUCACUUCCUGAUGACCUAGUUCCUGAAGAUGAUGGUUCAGCACCGGAUGUGGAAGAUUCUCGACGACCAAGCUGUUGCCGGAACUUGUUAUCAUGCGCAAUAUACUCAGCCCUAGAAGCUUCAAUCACCAUCCGUUCCAUCUCCUUUUCAGUGAGCUCAACAUCUGAGUAGAAGCGUCCUUCAGCAAGAAGCGCGUUAUCGAUCUGUUGGUCCUGUUGAGCUUUAAUUGCAGCUUUUACAUUAUCCUUGUCGACGUUUUUCCCUCGCAAAGAGCUAAACCCAAGUCCAG
This 678-nucleotide unclassified non-coding RNA is filed under the name Hevea brasiliensis (rubber tree). The record is from RNAcentral. Lineage: Eukaryota; Viridiplantae; Streptophyta; Magnoliopsida; Malpighiales; Euphorbiaceae.